ACGAACGCUGGCGGCAUGCUUAACACAUGCCAGUCGCACGGAAAGGCCCUGCUUUUGUGGGGUGCUCGAGUGGCGAACGGGUGAGUAACACGUGAGUAACCUGCCCUUGACUUUGGGAUAACUUCAGGAAACUGGGGCUAAUACCGGAUAGGAGCUCCUGCUGCAUGGUGGGGGUUGGAAAGUUUCGGCGGUUGGGGAUGGACUCGCGGCUUAUCAGCUUGUUGGUGGGGUAGUGGCUUACCAAGGCUUUGACGGGUAGCCGGCCUGAGAGGGUGACCGGCCACAUUGGGACUGAGAUACGGCCCAGACUCCUACGGGAGGCAGCAGUGGGGAAUAUUGCACAAUGGGCGGAAGCCUGAUGCAGCAACGCCGCGUGCGGGAUGACGGCCUUCGGGUUGUAAACCGCUUUCGCCUGUGACGAAGCGUGAGUGACGGUAAUGGGUAAAGAAGCACCGGCUAACUACGUG
This 467-nucleotide ribosomal RNA is filed under the name uncultured bacterium. Its description in RNAcentral is "partial 16S ribosomal RNA". It matches the Rfam family "Bacterial small subunit ribosomal RNA", at positions 29 to 507 of the family's 1533-position model. The record is from RNAcentral.